GGCGGCGUAGCCAAGUGGAUCAAGGCGACGGAUUGCAAAUCCGUUAUUCGUGGGUUCGAAUCCCACCGCCGCCU
RNAcentral lists this transfer RNA (74 nucleotides) under Planctomycetes bacterium ADurb.Bin126. Its description in RNAcentral is "tRNA-Cys". It matches the Rfam family "tRNA". From Rfam's summary of the family: Transfer RNA (tRNA) molecules are approximately 80 nucleotides in length. Their secondary structure includes four short double-helical elements and three loops (D, anti-codon, and T loops). Lineage: Bacteria; Pseudomonadati; Planctomycetota. The record is from RNAcentral. RNAcentral also lists the same sequence under 1 other name.